UGGGGAAUCUUCCGCAAUGGACGAAAGUCUGACGGAGCAACGCCGCGUGAGUGAUGACGGCCUUCGGGUUGUAAAGCUCUGUUAAUCGGGACGAAAGGCCUUCUUGCGAAUAGUUAGAAGGAUUGACGGUACCGGAAUAGAAAGCCACGGCUAACUACGUGCCAGCAGCCGCGGUAAUACGUAGGUGGCAAGCGUUGUCCGGAAUUAUUGGGCGUAAAGCGCGCGCAGGCGGAUUGGUCAGUCUGUCUUAAAAGUUCGGGGCUUAACCCCGUGAUGGGAUGGAAACUGCCAAUCUAGAGUAUCGGAGAGGAAAGUGGAAUUCCUAGUGUAGCGGUGAAAUGCGUAGAUAUUAGGAAGAACACCAGUGGCGAAGGCGACUUUCUGGACGAAAACUGACGCUGAGGCGCGAAAGCCAGGGGAGCGAACGGGAUUAGAUACCCCGGUAGUCCUGGCCGUAAACAUUACUAGGUGUAGGAGGUAUCGACCCCUUCUGUGCCGGAGUUAACGCAAUAAGUACCCCGCCUGGGGAGUACGACCGCAAGGUUG
RNAcentral lists this ribosomal RNA (546 nucleotides) under uncultured bacterium. RNAcentral's name for it is "bacterial SSU rRNA". It matches the Rfam family "Bacterial small subunit ribosomal RNA", at positions 355 to 896 of the family's 1533-position model. The record is from RNAcentral.